RNAcentral lists this transfer RNA (57 nucleotides) under Salmo salar (Atlantic salmon). It matches the Rfam family "tRNA", at positions 9 to 63 of the family's 71-position model. From Rfam's summary of the family: Transfer RNA (tRNA) molecules are approximately 80 nucleotides in length. Their secondary structure includes four short double-helical elements and three loops (D, anti-codon, and T loops). The record is from Rfam by way of RNAcentral. Lineage: Eukaryota; Metazoa; Chordata; Actinopteri; Salmoniformes; Salmonidae.
AGCUCAGUUGGGGGAGCGUGGCGCUUACAACGUCAGGGUUGUGGGUUGGAUUCCCAC